Molecule: ribosomal RNA, 467 nt
Filed under: uncultured bacterium
Lineage: Bacteria
Description: partial 16S ribosomal RNA
Rfam family: Bacterial small subunit ribosomal RNA
Source: RNAcentral
ACGAACGCUGGCGGCGUGCUUAACCCCUGCCAGUCGAACGGAAAGGCCCUGCUUUUGUGGGGUGCUCGAGUGGCGAACGGGUGAGUAACACGUGGGUAACCUGCCCUUGACUUUGGGAUAACUUCAGGAAACUGGGGCUAAUACCGGAUAGGAGCUCCUGCUGCAUGGUGGGGGUUGGAAAGUUUCGGCGGUUGGGGAUGGACUCGCGGCUUAUCAGCUUGUUGGUGGGGUAGUGGCUUACCAAGGCUUUGACGGGUAGCCGGCCUGAGAGGGUGACCGGCCACAUUGGGACUGAGAUACGGCCCAGACUCCUACGGGAGGCAGCAGUGGGGAAUAUUGCACAAUGGGCGGAAGCCUGAUGCAGCAACGCCGCGUGCGGGAUGACGGCCUUCGGGUUGUAAACCGCUUUCGCCUGUGACGAAGCGUGAGUGACGGUAAUGGGUAAAGAAGCACCGGCUAACUACGUG